RNAcentral lists this long non-coding RNA (1198 nucleotides) under Volvox carteri. RNAcentral's name for it is "long non-coding RNA (VCAR_LNC002247)". Lineage: Eukaryota; Viridiplantae; Chlorophyta; Chlorophyceae; Chlamydomonadales; Volvocaceae. The record is from RNAcentral.
UUGAAGCAGCUUGAGACUCACAGUCGAGCCACACGCCGAGGGGCACGCAAAGCAGCUGCGGAUUGCUGAGCAGCAAUGUUUUGAGGCGCUGUCUACUUGUGAGCGACGUUAAAGUAGCCAGCGCAGGCUCUGCGUUCCUGCUCAGACCGUUAAUAUCUCCAACACUGCGAAAGGUUUCAGCUGGUAUGCCCAAGUCCUCCAGGUGCUCUCGAACACUUGCCGGCAUUUGGAAGGGGGACGUCGAUCGACAGACCAGGCGCAGACUGCCAGGUGGGUUUGCUACGGCUGGAAUAUUACAUAGCCAACAUGCAUUCUGCGUUGAGGCUUUUCUCCAUUGGAGCGGCCGGAGCCGGCUAUGCCUGGAUAGCGUUUGCGCGUGCAUUAGCAACCCUAACUGGUAAUCUGAUCUUCACCGGCCUUCAACAACACGGCUGGCAAACCAAGUUUAUAGAUAUCAAAACGCAAGAGUGCAUUUUGUGGGAAUACCUUAGUAAAUUACAACUGAUGCCCCUGCUGACUUCAAUUCCAUUUCCCAGCCUACGAAGAUAGAUGAGAUAUCGUCUGGCAACAUUUCAAUUUGCAUAAGCAAAACAUAUUCCUUGCGGCUUACAUGCUGAAAAAUGCAAAUGAAGGAAUUAGUCGGUUGUUGCCGUUGCUUGUGCCACGGCUUGCGGCAGAGGAACGUCUGAUGGCCAAGCCAUGCGGAGAAUGGAUUAGUAAGGAGCUGCGAACAUCAGUCCAUUCGGUAAUGUCAUGUCGAACUACACAACUACUGCAGGGACGGAAUUCCUGGAGAUUCUGAACUAGAAGGGGCAUUGGAAGCACACCUGCUGAAUUUAAUUGUAAAUAGAUUGUAACACAUGGCGUGUGUAAACGUGAGAGUGCGGCAAAGCUGGAGCAGGGUGCUGCUGAGAUCGCUUGCAGCAGUUAGUAGGUAGAUCGAAAGGCACGACACUUUGCCUUAUUGUUGCCGUGGUAAUUUACCAUUCACGUCGACGCUGCCUGCCGUACUCACGGCGCUGGGAAUGGAGAGCCCUCAGAGAGGGGACACAGAUGAGAAGGAAAAGAAGACAAUCAUGGAGGGAGUGGAAAGGUUGUGAGGGCAGACGGUUUGCAUUGGCCCCUGACAAUAUGCAAGGAUAAUACUUGCAUUGCUCCUAUGUACCUUACAAUAAAAUACCUCAUAAAUGUAAGAUUU